AGCAGAAACGCUGUUUGUCACAUUGUAAAAGCAAAAGAGCUGCGUCUUGUACAGCAGUUUCCUGUAGAGAUCAGUUCUGUCGUGACAAAGACAUCAGAAGCUGGAUGAUGGGUGUUGUUAAUGUUGUGCUACUGGUGCUGCUGGUUUGGACAUUCACAUCUGUCUGUGGGGAAAUGACUGAUUUCACAAUUAACUGUGAAGAUGUGACUGCACAUGUGGGAGAUAAAAUAACUCUCACCUGCAGAGUCACUUAUCUGAAAAAAGGAUGCUGCAUGAUCUGGUACAAGUUUAUUAAUACAGCAUAUGAUGAACCAACAAUCUGUAAAGAGGAGUUCAGAAGUCAUUCAUGUAAACAAGAGAGAUUUUCAUGUCCCUACACUGCAAAUAAAACCAUGACAACACAAUUUAAAUUAUUUUCUCAAACCACAUGUGGAUUACAAACAACAUAUUUCACUGCAAAUGUAACAGAAGCUGUUAAAGGUGACACAGGCCAGGUUUUUUCCUUUUGUAUGAACAUUGCUGGAUUUCACUAAUUGAUGGCGAGCCUCCCACUUCGACCCUGAUCACGAAUCUAGAGGAAGGACAAUUUUCUAUUUUAAAUAUUUUUCAUCAGAAAAGUUUUAUUAAGUGAACAUUUUGACGACAGAAUUUUGUGAUCUACACAAUCAAAAGCUUUAGAGAGAUCAACAAACAAAGCCGGACAGUGAUUUUUAUUCUACAAAGAUAAUAUAAUUUGUGACGAGUGUUGCCGCUGAUUAAAACCUGAUUGAAACUCAUUUAAAAUAUAAUUUAUAUUUCUUUCAACAAGAUAAAUCAGUGAUUCCCGUCAUUAUUUGUGUCUUGAGUUGUUUCAUCAUUGUGAUUGUCAUGGCAUUGAUUAAGAUGGAUUAUAAUAUGGCUGCAUUUGAAAAUAACAUCAGAUAGAGAAGCAAUGUAACAACAGCAUAACAUCAAUCUAAUAUUCAUAUUUUUAAUAUUUAUAAUAUUCAUUAUGUCUUUAAUGUAAGAGUCCUCAUCAGAUCUGCUGGUCACCAAUUAGAAUCCAUAUAGAUAAACUCUUUUGUGUAUCAGAUCAAUCUACUGACUUGUGAAUAAUAAACAACAAUACUGAAUUAUUAUAAGACUGUGAUUAUAUGGUUUAAAAGGACUAAAGCUUGGUUUUUUGUUUCAUAUAUAUGUGAAAAAGGAUUGUAGUACUGUACAAAGUGUAUUGUGUAUAUAUACAGCUUAAAUGUAAAAUGACUUAUAGUUUUCUCUGCAUAAUGAUGUUAAAGGAAAUCAAUUUAAAAUCAUUGCUUGGCCUGUAUAAAUUUGAUAUUAAAAUGCACAGACCAAACUUUGUUUGCUUGUCACAUAUCCGAUGCUUAAUUAUCUGCAUUUGGUGUUUUUUUUUGCAUGUUCAAACUAAUUUUUAUGUACCAUCAUGCUUGUCAUUAUUAUAUUGCCUAACAGU
Non-coding RNA from Misgurnus anguillicaudatus (oriental weatherfish), 1453 nucleotides. The record is from RefSeq and is a predicted model, not a curated record. NCBI's taxonomy places the organism in Eukaryota, Metazoa, Chordata, Actinopteri, Cypriniformes, Cobitidae.